UAACCUAAUACAACACGCUUUACCGGCUAACAGAGAUAUUCGCGUAGCACGCGCGUCGCUGCUUCUCCGAUGCUCAAGUUUACGAACGUAGCAGUGAAAGUAUCUCGCGAGCUGACUAGAGAUACGAACUCGCUGCUGACAUAAUUUAACCUUGUUUACAUAGCGUGACUCGUUGCGAAUUGUCAAAUCCUUAUUUCACGCCACCAAACCUGUUUCCAGGCUAUUCGUGUAUACAUACGACAGGUAUAAAACAUAACCUCUCUUCCGUUCGCAGUUACAAGAGAGGUGUAAUUUGCUUGGAAAGCCUCGUACGCAAACGAGUCUCGAAUCGAUAAUAAAUUACGAGGAUGAUGUGGGAAACGUUAAAGGAAGUUCUCGUGACAACGAUUAAACGGUUAACGCGUGGAUAUAGCGUAAUGCGGAUCGACGUGCAACUUAAUAUCUAACGCGAUAUCUCGUUUAAUUUCCUAAUGGCGAGAAUACGUAGCGCCGAGUUGCAGAGGGAAAGAAAAAGAAGAAAAUUAGAAGGAACGACGCGUUACGAAGCAAGUUAAAUGUUAUACAGUGGAUCGGGAGAAAUUAGAUUUCCAUACAAAAGAAGGAACACUGCGAUUACCAUUAGAUAUUAGGAGGAAAUUAAAGCGAGCGUAGGACAAUACAAUAUUCGUAAAUAAUUCAGCACGCGGAUAAAUAUGACCCAGUAAAGGACGAUGAAUAAGUAAAUUCGUAUUACGUAGCGACAUGACAGUCGGAAGCAUGUUUCGUGCGCACCGUCAACUUUCAUAGUUCGACUUGUCUGAAAUAUUCAAAUGUCGUGGAACGAAUAGUAUAGACACGAGUAUCAAAAUCGAAGCAAAAGCCGCUUCUCUCUUAUGGCGAAUGUACUUGAAAUUUUGUCCGCUAGAAUCGCUUCAUGUCUCCUCCCCGUGUCCGGCAAUCGACUUUCGUCUUAUAGUGAACUGUUUAUCAUCGCUCGUUCUCUUCGCACGCGAUACCGCCUUCUAAUCUGAAGAUCGAGCCGCUGCGAAUACGAAAUGGCGCUGUCCUCGUUACGGAAGACGCGACGCGCAGUCUUGCCAUCGAAGGAGCAAAUAAUUUCGGUGAACGUUUCUCAUUCAUUCUGAGUCAUUCGUCAUUCGCGUGGUUACGAGUUGGCGCUACGAGAUUCAACUUGAACGCGCCCACGAAUCUCUGGUGCGCUAUCGAACCGGCAGUUUGCUCACCAAACAAGGCAAGAUAAAUACCACGAUGCUGUAGUAUUACGAGGAUUAAGCAAGUAAUGGUAGUCACCUUUCACACGUUUCAGCGGAAGAAAGAGCGCAAAUAUUCCGCGUCUCGGAGAAGCGUGAGAUUUUAAGAUGACCGCUAAGCGUUUCGGUACAAAGGAUGCGUCCGUGAAUUUAGAGCUUAUGGUGGUAACGGCUAUGGAAAAUUUUCGCGUGACUCACGAUAAAUCGUCGGCCAACAACGGAGAAACCUGUUUCUCUCCCUCUGUAGCGUAAAAGAAGGACAGGGAACAGGAGUCAGAAAGAAGGAGAAGCAAGAAAGAAAGAGAGAGAGAGA
Molecule: long non-coding RNA, 1563 nt
Organism: Bombus impatiens (common eastern bumble bee)
Lineage: Eukaryota; Metazoa; Arthropoda; Insecta; Hymenoptera; Apidae
Exons: 2
Source: RefSeq, a predicted model, not a curated record